This 480-nucleotide ribosomal RNA is filed under the name uncultured bacterium. Its description in RNAcentral is "partial 16S ribosomal RNA". It matches the Rfam family "Bacterial small subunit ribosomal RNA", at positions 29 to 523 of the family's 1533-position model. The record is from RNAcentral.
AACGAACGCUGGCGGCAUGCUUAACACAUGCAAGUCGAACGGAAAGGCCCUUCGGGGUACUCGAGUGGCGAACGGGUGAGUAACACGUGGGUGAUCUGCCCUGCACUUUGGGAUAAGCAUGGGAAACUGGGUCUAAUACCGAAUAUGACCACUUCUUGGAUGUUGUGGUGGAAAGCUUUUGCGGUGUGGGAUGAGCCUGCGGCCUAUCAGCUUGUUGGUGGGGUAAUGGCCUACCAAGGCGGCGACGGGUAUCCGGCCUGAGAGGGUGUACGGACACAUUGGGACUGAGAUACGGCCCAGACUCCUACGGGAGGCAGCAGUGGGGAAUAUUGCACAAUGGGCGCAAGCCUGAUGCAGCGACGCCGCGUGGGGGAUGAAGGCCUUCGGGUUGUAAACUCCUUUCGCUAUCGACGAAGCCACUUGUGGUGACGGUAGGUAGAUAAGAAGCACCGGCUAACUACGUGCCAGCAGCCGCCGUAA